Rhododendron vialii is the source of this 491-nucleotide long non-coding RNA. RefSeq lists it as uncharacterized. NCBI's taxonomy places the organism in Eukaryota, Viridiplantae, Streptophyta, Magnoliopsida, Ericales, Ericaceae. The record is from RefSeq and is a predicted model, not a curated record. The transcript has 3 exons.
AAAAAAUACAUUUCCUGAAAAAAAUGAGAGGCGUUUUAAUGGAUAUACAAGAGACAAAUUAACAACGAGAUUCGUGCACUUUGAUGAUUCCGGAAAAAAUGGAAUAUGGUAGAGAGAGAGAGAGAGAGAGAAUUAAUUGCAAGCCUCCAUGGCUGGAAGUUCUUAUUAUUCAAUUUCACUUAGAAUUUUGAAUUCUUACAGCUGCAUCAUCGAAAGUCCACCCAUGCAAAAACAGAAACAAAAAUGGAAAACAGAACACACAAGAUUUGAAUAGAGAGGCCAUGGUUAAAGUCACAAGGAUGAAGCUUUCUCAUCAAGAGAUUCUCUAACUGCCUUCAAAAGCAUAGGCAUCAGCUUUGGAUUGGUAACAAUUAUGCCCGUGUCCAGAUCAAGAUACCUCCCCUUGGAGAAAUCCAAAGGAUUUCCUCCAGCAUCAGUGACAACACCCCCAGCUUCUGCAAAAUUCAAAGAGAGUCAGAGAGAGAGAGAGA